UUACUUACCUGGACGGGGUCAAUGGAUGACCAUGAAGGCCCAUUGCCUAAGCCUGUGACUUCCAUUGCACUACGGAGGGGUGCUCGCUUAAGGUCUGUCCAAGUGAUGGAACCUGCGUCAUAAUUUGUUGCGGUGGGGGCCUGUGUUCGCGCGGCCCCUUU
Small nuclear RNA from Quercus robur (English oak), 161 nucleotides. RefSeq annotates it as U1 spliceosomal RNA. The record is from RefSeq and is a predicted model, not a curated record. NCBI's taxonomy places the organism in Eukaryota, Viridiplantae, Streptophyta, Magnoliopsida, Fagales, Fagaceae. The transcript has a single exon.